CAGUCGCCGCGGUAAUACGGAGGGCGCGAGCGUUACCCGGAUUUACUGGGCGUAAAGGGAGCGUAGGCGGACAUUUAAGUCAGGGGUGAAAUCCCGGGGCUCAACCUCGGAAUUGCCUUUGAUACUGGGUGUCUUGAGUAUGAGAGAGGUAUGUGGAACUCCGAGUGUAGAGGUGAAAUUCGUAGAUAUGCGGAGGAACACCGAUGGCGAAGGCAGCCCCCUGGGCCAACACUGACGCUCAUGCACGAAAGCGUGGGGAGCAAACAGGAUUAGAUACCCGGGUAGUCCCUGUCUCUUAUAC
Molecule: ribosomal RNA, 301 nt
Filed under: uncultured bacterium
Lineage: Bacteria
Description: partial 16S ribosomal RNA
Rfam family: Bacterial small subunit ribosomal RNA
Source: RNAcentral